GGAGAUGUAGCUUAGUGGUACAGCAUGUGUUUAGCAUGGGCAAGGCCUGGGUUCAAUUCCCAGCACCCCA
Molecule: transfer RNA, 70 nt
Filed under: Marmota monax (woodchuck)
Lineage: Eukaryota; Metazoa; Chordata; Mammalia; Rodentia; Sciuridae
Rfam family: tRNA
About the family: Transfer RNA (tRNA) molecules are approximately 80 nucleotides in length. Their secondary structure includes four short double-helical elements and three loops (D, anti-codon, and T loops).
Source: Rfam by way of RNAcentral